GAUGAACGCUGGCGGCGUGCCUAAUACAUGCCAGUCGAGCGAACAGACGAGGAGCUUGCUCCUCUGACGUUAGCGGCGGACGGGUGAGUAACACGUGGAUAACCUACCUAUAAGACUGGGAUAACUUCGGGAAACCGGAGCUAAUACCGGAUAAUAUAUUGAACCGCAUGGUUCAAUAGUGAAAGACGAUUUUGCUGUCACUUAUAGAUGGAUCCGCGCCGCAUUAGCUAGUUGGUAAGGUAACGGCUUACCAAGGCAACGAUGCGUAGCCGACCUGAGAGGGUGAUCGGCCACACUGGAACUGAGACACGGUCCAGACUCCUACGGGAGGCAGCAGUAGGGAAUCUUCCGCAAUGGGCGAAAGCCUGACGGAGCAACGCCGCGUGAGUGAUGAAGGUCUUCGGAUCGUAAAACUCUGUUAUUAGGGAAGAACAAAUGUGUAAGUAACUAUGCACGUCUUGACGGUACCUAAUCAGAAAGCCACGGCUAACUACGUG
RNAcentral lists this ribosomal RNA (497 nucleotides) under uncultured bacterium. Its description in RNAcentral is "partial 16S ribosomal RNA". It matches the Rfam family "Bacterial small subunit ribosomal RNA", at positions 28 to 507 of the family's 1533-position model. The record is from RNAcentral.